Molecule: ribosomal RNA, 264 nt
Filed under: uncultured bacterium
Lineage: Bacteria
Description: partial 16S ribosomal RNA
Rfam family: Bacterial small subunit ribosomal RNA
Source: RNAcentral
AUUGCCUACGGGACGCAGCAGUGGGGAAUAUUGCACAAUGGGGGAAACCCUGAUGGAGCAACGCCGCGUGAGUGAAGAAGGGUUUCGGCUCGUAAAGCUCUGUUGGGAGUGAAGAAAGAUAGAGGUAGUAACUGGCCUUUAUUUGACGGUAAUUACUUAGAAAGUCACGGCUAACUACGUGCCAGCAGCCGCGGUAAUACGUAGGUGGCAAGCGUUGUCCGGAUUUAUUGGGCGUAAAGCGAGUGCAGGCGGGUCAAUAAGUCU